CGGGACGGGUGAGUAACGCGUGGGUAACCUGCCUCAUACAGGGGGAUAACAGUUGGAAACGACUGCUAAUACCGCAUAAGCGCACAGGAUCGCAUGAUCCGGUGUGAAAAACUCCGGUGGUAUGAGAUGGACCCGCGUCUGAUUAGCCAGUUGGCAGGGUAACGGCCUACCAAAGCGACGAUCAGUAGCCGACCUGAGAGGGUGACCGGCCACAUUGGAACUGAAACACGGUCCAG
This 236-nucleotide ribosomal RNA is filed under the name uncultured bacterium. RNAcentral's name for it is "partial 16S ribosomal RNA". It matches the Rfam family "Bacterial small subunit ribosomal RNA", at positions 100 to 334 of the family's 1533-position model. The record is from RNAcentral.